AAAAAAAAUCUAUGUGCUUUUUUGGUUUUUGCUUUUUUUGAUAUUUGAACAAUUAGAUUUUUAUUUGUCACCACUCUUCAUGGUUCACAAACCCAUUGCAAACAAUACUAGAAUGAGGGUUGAGAGAUUCAGACAGAGGCCAUGCACUUGCUUUGCAGCCCCUAAAUAUUUACCCCAGAGAAAUCAUCUGGAGCAAAAAAUAACAUUGACAGAUGAGAUGCCCUAAUCAUGUGUUACACCAACUGCUGUAAAGGAGAAAACAGGAAUGUCACUGAAGUAUUGCAGUGAAGCUGUUUCCCUUCCAGGGCAAGAAGAAUGGGAGUUGGCCAGUUCUUUGUGUCAACCCAAGAACUUCUAGUAGGACCAUGUGGACGCAGAUCAGGGAGCUCUGCCAUUACCUCUGUACUCCAUGCCUGCCACAGCUUGAGUACAGUAGGAAAAGGGGCCCAGAUUUCACAAUCCAUAAUUUUUAAUUUAUGCAGCAUUACCAGUAUUCUGAAAUAGCUUCUAGCUUCAUGUGGAGAAGGAAAAUUCAUUGUGUUACUGCAAUGAGCAAAAUGCAUUGCUUCUGGCAUCUGAAUCUGAAAUUUAGUGUAAAGGCCACUUCUUGUUGCAGGACCAAAUUCUGCCAAGUUAAUUUUGGGAUGACAUUUAAUUUUAAGAGAAGUUAUAUUGUCCCUCUGAGAAUUUGAGCUUCACAAGAUUCUAUUUCUUUAAAACCAGCAAAUGCAGCACUGUAAUUAGGGUGCAGAGCAUGGCAGGUAGCACAGGAAUUCAGUGCUCACAUUAUUUUCCUGGGAAGUCUUAUGAACUCAUCCUAACUUUGGACAGGUUAAAAUUAGUUGAGUGGAUACUCCAUGUGUCUAAUUUCAGAUCUAUCCACGCUGCUUAGCAGAAGGCUCAAGAAACUUUCCAUACUAAAGAUGAAGAUGGUUCCCUUCAUGGUAAAGCAUUGGUACCAUCCGAUGAGCAAAAAAAAAUAUUUGUGUUGCAGAUAAGGAGGGCAAACAGUAGUGGGUAAGUGAGCAAGAAAGCAAACAGAAUGGAGCAUCUGGAAAUAAGAGAAAUAUCCUAGCUCCUGGGUAGCAAUUCAACCCCUCUUGGUCAUCAGUGCUGUGUUGGGCUGCUUCAGGAGUAAGGUGAAUUUGUUCUGCUGUCAUCAACACCCAUGUCUGCUACACACCAGCUUUAUUGUAGCUUCCCAAGGAAACUUGCAGUGUGCUUGCUCUGCAACAAAACCUGGAAACAGUUUUUCAGAAUCCUACCUAGAAAUUUUAAAUCCUUUCAUUGUUGUUCUAUAUUACAUCAUAUUCUAUUUUAUUACUUGUGUGGGCUGUCGAGGGCCUCAUAACUGUGCUAGUGCUUUCAUCCUUUCCUUUUCCACUGUAUAUUUUAUUAAGACCUCUUUUAUAUUUUUGUAGCUUUCAUGCUGAUGCAGGCACUAGUUUUAUUUCCAGAUUGAUUCUGUAAACUAAAUAUUGUUCUUGAGCCUGGUAGCAAAUCAGCUCUCUCUGGCUAGUAUUUUGAAUUCCCAGCUCAGGAGUUUUCUUUAUUUAGAGCUUGAUUCAUAAAAAAUUUACAUGCUAUUUAAAGAUUAUUUUUUCUUGCUUUACUCUGAUGCAAGUUUAGAAUUCCCUCUUUUGCACUCAAAUAAAGAAAAAAAAGGAUAUAUUCUAUGCUUGUGAAAUCUGUUCUGUAGAAAGGUCUUCUAUUGAAAACGGAACAGGUGCAGCUUGGGCAAUUAUAUAUAAAUUGCAUUUAUCUGGCACCUUUGACCGCUUCGCUGUGCUCUGGCUGCUAAUCCAUCUCCACUGGGACUACAACUAACAUCCAAACCCCCAGGCAACUUCAAAAGAACUGCCUUCAAAAAAUAAAAACAAACUGUCACAGAAA
This is a long non-coding RNA of Pezoporus occidentalis (night parrot), 1893 nucleotides long. RefSeq lists it as uncharacterized. Lineage: Eukaryota; Metazoa; Chordata; Aves; Psittaciformes; Psittacidae. The record is from RefSeq and is a predicted model, not a curated record. The transcript has 2 exons.